UUUUAUCAUAACUACUUGAUUUAUCAUCCUGGUUUUCAAGAAAAGAACCUGUUGUAGUAGGCGUCUUGCGGGGGCACGGGAUGUACGGGACAGGCCUCUCCCUAAACAUAGAGAGAUAGUGCUAUCGUGCUGACCUUGUUGCAGAGAAAACAGGAGAAGAAGAAGGAUGAUAAAAGAAUGUGGAAACGGCCAAAUAAGGCACAAUGUUAUCUGGUGUGAACUAAUCAGAGUGGGACAUGACAGCACGGUUAUCUAGGUAAAAUGUAUAUAAGCUGUGUUUAGUAGUGAAUAAACGCCAUUUGCCUCACUUACUCCUGGGGUCUGGGUGAGCAUCUGGCCCCGACCUGGUAAAGGGUCGGUUUCGCCCAGCAGUAAGCCCUACAUGUGGACAGAGGACGAACACCGGACGAGCGAACGGAGACUACAUGCAACAAGUGGUGACCCCGACGUGAUCUGUCUGCUGAGGGUGGCUGCCCGGCGUGCCCGUGACGCGGAGAAGAGCCUGUGAGGUGGCGGCAGGUCGCGCACGGAAGACGUAUUGCGGUUAAGAGCCUGCGAGGUGGCGGCAGGUCGCAUACGUAACAAUGGACCAAGUCAUUAAGGUACUUGUGCAGUUUUGUAAGGACUACUUUGGAAAAUGUGCUCCUUCCCGGAAGGAGAUCGCGGCAGUUUUGUCGCUAUUAAAUGAGCUGGGGGAGCUGGACUCUCCCCGCUACGUUUUGGAUUCGAGUAGGUGGGACUUGCUCACCUCGGUGCUAUGCCAGCGCGCCAUGGCCAGUCAGAAGGCUACGGAACUUAAAACGUGGGGACUGAUAUUAGGAGCCCUUAAAGCGGCCAGAGUUGAGGGAAAGGUAUUGGUGGAGGCUCGAUACCUUUUGGGUCUCAGCGGAGGAGGUGAGACACAGGACCCGGUCGGGUCCGAUGGGGGUUCGGGAGCAGUUUCUUGCAGGGGCCGAGAGGAGACGGAGCCGCCAAUGACCGUUGGCGGGAUGGCGCCGGCUGAGCCGACCGCGCUCAGUUCAAAAGAAGACAAACAACAAGAGAGUGAAAGUUCGUUGUCUCGUCCCCCUCCCCCGUAUCCAAACCCCUCAGGUGGAACGUUGUAUCCUUUAUCAGAAUUACGUCAGUGUUACCUGACUCAAGGGGGCGGAGGAAGCUGUGAUCUACACGGGCAGGAUCAACUUAGUGCCCACAUGGGGAGGGACCAGACAGAAGGUCCGUCCAAUGCGGACAGGGGGCAUAGCCUACUGUCUCUGGUCACUCCCAGGGGCGGUAGUGCGAGUGAUAGUGUAGAAGAGAAAGAAGGGACUGGCUUUGAGUGCAGGGGGAGGGAUCAAAUGACGGACUGGAAUGGGAUUAGAUCGGAGGCUUUGGGAAAGGGUAUAGUUCCAGAGGCAUUCCGGGUGAUUGUGAGUGAUCGUGGUCCCGAAUGGGUGCCGCCUGACCCCGGGGGUGUUACGCGCCUGGUGGAAUUUAUGGAUAAAAGAGGCCUGAAAUCGCCUCUGACAUUAAAUGCACUACAAACUUUGGCUGCACUGGGGCCUCUCUUCCCCCGUGACAUCACAAACUUAAUGCGUACGGUGCUCAGGCUGGUUCAAUAUACGUUAUGGGAGACGGACUGGGUGGCCGAGUUGGGGGGCCGUGCCGGGGCGACAGGGGUCGGCCCGCACCGCUCCCUGCAUGGGACCGGAAUACAGCGGCUUUCAGGGAAGGCCGUGGGAGUGGCUUCGCCCCAGGGCCAGCUAGCGAGACUAAGGCCAGGGGAGCUAAUAGCAGCCACAGAUGCAGUGGUGGAAGCGUUUAAUAAACUUGUGCAUAAGGCCGAACCACCUACUCCGUGCACAGAUAUUACCCAGGGCCCGAAUGAAUCCUUUCAAAGCUUUACAGACAGGCUUUUAGCUGCUGCAGAGGGGUCUGAUCUCCUGGUACCGGCCCAAGGGCCAGUGAUCAUUGACUGCUUGCAGCAGAAAUCGCAUGACAAUGUUAAGGCAUUGCUGCGAGCCGGCCGAAGUACGCUUAAUACCUCGGGAGCCGGCCGAAGUACGCUUAAUAUCCAGGGAGAAGUUAUUCAGUAUGUCUUAGAUAAGCUCAAGGUGGCUCAUUUAACUAAUGAAAGGCUAGUCACAGCUAUUGUCGUAGCUGUUGGCCUGCGACAGCAAAGAUCGCUGCAGCAGCAAGGGCUGUGUUUCCGAUACGGCCAGUAUGGCCAUGUUAGAGCACAAUGCCCCUGUGGGGGAGGCCAGUCAGGGCCUCCUGAUCACAGGAAGGGCUUGCUAAAGGGUAUCCGUGGUCGGGUAUGCAGCAGUUAAAUAUCAUGAAUCUGGGAAAUUCUGUGGGUACCAUCGCGAAAAGUAAUACCAGAUAUAAGUAGCAUAUCUGCAAAAACUGAGUCUAGGUGCGAGUUUUCUACAGAAAUUCUUCGUUGGCAGACCGAAGCCAACUCCAGAACAACUGAGGGACAGACGAUGGGAUCAAGAACCACUCGUCAAGAGGAGCACUACACCUGCAACGCUGACACUUCCGAUGUUGCUGAUAUUUAUGGUGUCCAUGGCGAUUACAGAGUGUCACAAACAACUACAAUGGACACAAGAACAUAUGCAGAAAAUUAAAGAAGAGCGUGAUCCCUUUGGAAGCUGGCUGGACGGACUGUUUGGGGGAACGGGUUCAUGGUUAAAGCAAUUGCUUAAAGCUCUCGCAGUAGGAUUUGCAAUCUUUGUGUGUAUUCUAAUCUGUCUUCCAUGCUUUGUAGGAUGCUUGCCUUCAACGAAUGAUGGACAAGACUUUUGACUAUCACAUUGAGUAUCAUAGAUUGCGUGAAAAAUUAUAGAGGGGUUUAGGUUGUUGCGUUCGUGCUGUAACGGGGCAAGGCUUGGCCGAGCACGGAAAAGAAUUCCCUGUUGCUCUGAUGAUUGCUUAAGAACUGUAGUAGAAAAUAGUAGGAAUAGUGUGCUGAAAUAUAUUUAGGAUUAGGCGUUUUGCGCUGCUUCGCGAUGUACGGGUUAGGUGUGUGUGUAAGUAGUAUUUAGCUUAGGGAGGGGGAGAUGUUGUAGUAGGCGUCUUGCGGGGGCACGGGAUGUACGGGACAGGCCUCUCCCUAAACAUAGAGAGAUAGUGCUAUCGUGCUGACCUUGUUGCAGAGAAAACAGGAGAAGAAGAAGGAUGAUAAAAGAAUGUGGAAACGGCCAAAUAAGGCACAAUGUUAUCUGGUGUGAACUAAUCAGAGUGGGACAUGACAGCACGGUUAUCUAGGUAAAAUGUAUAUAAGCUGUGUUUAGUAGUGAAUAAACGCCAUUUGCCUCACUUACUCCUGGGGUCUGGGUGAGCAUCUGGCCCCGACCUGGUAAAGGGUCGGUUUCGCCCAGCAGUAAGCCCUACAUGUGGACAGAGGACGAACACCGGACGAGCGAACGGAGACUACAUGCAACAGAACCGUGUUCUCAGCUGAUUUCAAAUUUGUCGCCAGGAUCAUGGUUAUCUUCUGCUAAAGAAAUUCUUUACUCCUUUGUCCCAAAGAUGAA
Long non-coding RNA from Gallus gallus (chicken), 3518 nucleotides. NCBI's taxonomy places the organism in Eukaryota, Metazoa, Chordata, Aves, Galliformes, Phasianidae. The record is from Ensembl.